RNAcentral lists this small nuclear RNA (118 nucleotides) under Cephalotus follicularis. RNAcentral's name for it is "U5 spliceosomal RNA". It matches the Rfam family "U5 spliceosomal RNA". From Rfam's summary of the family: U5 RNA is a component of both types of known spliceosome. The record is from Rfam by way of RNAcentral. Lineage: Eukaryota; Viridiplantae; Streptophyta; Magnoliopsida; Oxalidales; Cephalotaceae.
AGCCGAGUAGUAAACGCAUAGCGAAUUAUUCUUUCGUCUUUUACUAAAGAAUACCGUAUGUUCGCUACUUAAAUCGGCAUAGAACAAUUUUUGUAGGGUUUUUCUCCAUUGGGGAGAA